Molecule: ribosomal RNA, 467 nt
Filed under: uncultured bacterium
Lineage: Bacteria
Description: partial 16S ribosomal RNA
Rfam family: Bacterial small subunit ribosomal RNA
Source: RNAcentral
GACGAACGCUGGCGGCGUGCUUAACACAUGCAAGUCGAACGGAAAGGCUCCAGCUUGCUGGCGUACUCGAGUGGCGAACGGGUGAGUAACACGUGGGUAAUCUGCCCUGCACUCUGGGAUAAGCCUGGGAAACUGGGUCUAAUACUGGAUAUGACCUUUCUCCUUAUGGGGUUUGGUGGAAAGUUUUUCGGUGUAGGAUGAGCCCGCGGCCUAUCAGCUUGUUGGUGGGGUGAUGGCCUACCAAGGCGACGACGGGUAGCCGGCCUGAGAGGGUGAUCGGCCACAUUGGGACUGAGAUACGGCCCAGACUCCUACGGGAGGCAGCAGUGGGGAAUAUUGCACAAUGGGCGGAAGCCUGAUGCAGCGACGCCGCGUGAGGGAUGACGGCCUUCGGGUUGUAAACCUCUUUCAGCAGGAACGAAGCGUAAGUGACGGUACCUGCAGAAGAAGCACCGGCUAACUAUGUG